GCCGGGGUGGCGAAACUGGCAGACGCAGGGGACUUAAAAUCCCUCGGAGGCAACCCCUCCAUGCGGGUUCGAUUCCCGCCCCCGGCACCA
RNAcentral lists this transfer RNA (90 nucleotides) under Acidobacteriota bacterium. RNAcentral describes it as "Acidobacteria bacterium (bioreactor metagenome) tRNA-Leu". It matches the Rfam family "tRNA". From Rfam's summary of the family: Transfer RNA (tRNA) molecules are approximately 80 nucleotides in length. Their secondary structure includes four short double-helical elements and three loops (D, anti-codon, and T loops). The record is from RNAcentral. Lineage: Bacteria; Pseudomonadati; Acidobacteriota.